This 675-nucleotide small RNA is filed under the name Pongo abelii (Sumatran orangutan). Its description in RNAcentral is "processed transcript". The record is from RNAcentral. Lineage: Eukaryota; Metazoa; Chordata; Mammalia; Primates; Hominidae.
AGGUGCUUUGGAAAUCAUAUAUUGAUUUUGAAAUUGAGCAGGAAGAAACAGAAAGAACACGAAACCUUUACCGGCGGUUGCUUCAACGGACGCAGCAUGUCAAGGAAAAGAAGGAAGUUUGACUAAAUGCAGACAAAUUUAUGAAGAAGCUAACAAAACCAUGCGAAACUGUGAAGAAAAGGAAGAGAGACUUAUGCUGCUGGAAUCUUGGCGAAGUUUUGAAGAAGAAUUUGGAACAGCUUCAGAUAAGGAGAGAGUAGACAAACUCAUGCCAGAGAAAGUCAAGAAGAGAAGAAAGGUCCAGACUGACGAUGGGUCUGAUGCAGGCUGGGAAGAAUACUUUGAUUACAUCUUUCCAGAAGAUGCUGCCAAUCAACCUAACCUCAAACUCCUGGCCAUGGCCAAACUGUGGAAGAAACAGCAGCAGGAAAAGGAGGAUGCUGAGCACCAUCCAGAUGAGGACAUCGAUGAGAGUGAAUCCUGAUCUUUUUUUCAUAUUGACAAAUGUUUUGUUAUUUUUAUAAAUUAAUUGUUUGGAACUCUUGUGACUCCUGGAAGUUCUUAUAUAUUUCACCAGUAAGAAAUUGAUUGGUAUCUUUGAUGGCUACUUUUUAAGUUAUUUUUUAAAUGCUCUUGGGUUAGCUAGGGGUGGGGAUUGCAAGUAAAGGACUUUUU